Molecule: ribosomal RNA, 763 nt
Filed under: uncultured Streptococcus sp.
Lineage: Bacteria; Bacillati; Bacillota; Bacilli; Lactobacillales; Streptococcaceae
Description: bacterial SSU rRNA
Rfam family: Bacterial small subunit ribosomal RNA
Source: RNAcentral
GACGAACGCUGGCGGCGUGCCUAAUACAUGCAAGUAGAACGCUGAAGGAGGAGCUUGCUUCUCUGGAUGAGUUGCGAACGGGUGAGUAACGCGUAGGUAACCUGCCUGGUAGCGGGGGAUAACUAUUGGAAACGAUAGCUAAUACCGCAUAAGAGUAGAUGUUGCAUGACAUUUGCUUAAAAGGUGCAAUUGCAUCACUACCAGAUGGACCUGCGUUGUAUUAGCUAGUUGGUGGGGUAACGGCUCACCAAGGCGACGAUACAUAGCCGACCUGAGAGGGUGAUCGGCCACACUGGGACUGAGACACGGCCCAGACUCCUACGGGAGGCAGCAGUAGGGAAUCUUCGGCAAUGGACGGAAGUCUGACCGAGCAACGCCGCGUGAGUGAAGAAGGUUUUCGGAUCGUAAAGCUCUGUUGUAAGAGAAGAACGAGUGUGAGAGUGGAAAGUUCACACUGUGACGGUAUCUUACCAGAAAGGGACGGCUAACUACGUGCCAGCAGCCGCGGUAAUACGUAGGUCCCGAGCGUUGUCCGGAUUUAUUGGGCGUAAAGCGAGCGCAGGCGGUUAGAUAAGUCUGAAGUUAAAGGCUGUGGCUUAACCAUAGUACGCUUUGGAAACUGUUUAACUUGAGUGCAAGAGGGGAGAGUGGAAUUCCAUGUGUAGCGGUGAAAUGCGUAGAUAUAUGGAGGAACACCGGUGGCGAAAGCGGCUCUCUGGCUUGUAACUGACGCUGAGGCUCGAAAGCGUGGGGAGCAAACAGG